This 443-nucleotide ribosomal RNA is filed under the name uncultured archaeon. Its description in RNAcentral is "bacterial SSU rRNA". It matches the Rfam family "Archaeal small subunit ribosomal RNA", at positions 867 to 1309 of the family's 1478-position model. The record is from RNAcentral.
GGCGGGGGAGCACUACAACGGGUGGAGCCUGCGGUUUAAUUGGAUUCAACGCCGGAAAACUCACCGGGUGCGACAGCAAUAUGUAGGUCAGGCUGAAGGUCUUACCUGAAUCGCUGAGAGGAGGUGCAUGGCCGUCGUCAGUUCGUACUGUGAAGCAUCCUGUUAAGUCAGGCAACGAGCAAGACCCGUGCCCACAGUUGCCAGCAUUUUCGCAAGAAAGAUGGGCACACUGUGGGGACCGCCGCUGCUAAAGCGGAGGAAGGUGCGGGCUACGGUAGGUCAGUAUGCCCCGAAUGACCCGGGCUACACGCGGGCUACAAUGGCUGGGACAAUGGGCACCCACACCGAAAGGUGGAGGUAAUCCCCUAAACCCAGCCCUAGUUCGGAUUGAGGGCUGCAACUCGCCCUCAUGAAGCCGGAAUCCGUAGUAAUCGCGUAUCAAC